GCACAUCUGGCUGGCACUCGCAGUCACCACAGUGCCUGGAAACUUCUAGGACAGCAAGAUCCUGACCUACCAGCAUGGGAUCCCGACCUCUCUCUCCAACACAGGCCAGCAGUGGGACUUCCCCAAUGCCUGGGCUCCCUUGCAGGACUUGAUCGUCAGAGGCUUGGCCAAGUCAGCUUCCCCCGGCACCCAGGAAGUAGCUUUUCAGCUGGCCCAGAAUUGGAUCAGAACCAACUUUGACGUCUACACCCAAAAGUCAGUCAUGUAUGAGAAGUAUGACAUCAGCGAUGGUGGACAGCCAGGUGGUGGAGGGGAGUAUGAAGUUCAGG
RNA transcript from Castor canadensis (American beaver), 329 nucleotides. It is a transcript of the gene named trehalase-like, with no coding region annotated. Lineage: Eukaryota; Metazoa; Chordata; Mammalia; Rodentia; Castoridae. The record is from RefSeq and is a predicted model, not a curated record.